Molecule: ribosomal RNA, 294 nt
Filed under: Ochrobactrum sp. AmHAF2
Lineage: Bacteria; Pseudomonadati; Pseudomonadota; Alphaproteobacteria; Hyphomicrobiales; Brucellaceae
Description: partial 16S ribosomal RNA
Rfam family: Bacterial small subunit ribosomal RNA
Source: RNAcentral
UACUCNANUNGNGGAGGUGGUGAUGCUGUUGUUUAACACCUAAAAGGUGGAGGGGGGGCCGGAUGCUUUAAUCACACCCAUAAAGCCGUCUCAGUUCGGAUUGCACUCUGCAACUCGAGUGCCUUAAGUUGGAAUCCCUAAUAAUUGCGGAUCCACAUGCCCCGGUGAAUAACUUCCCCGGCCCUGGUCCCCCCCCCCCUUCCCCCCUGGGAAUUGGUUUUACCCAAAAGCCCCGGGGUAACCGUUAAGAAGCCGGCUAACACCGGUGGGACAUUGACGGGGGUGAUUCAAAAA